RNAcentral lists this ribosomal RNA (254 nucleotides) under uncultured bacterium. RNAcentral's name for it is "partial 16S ribosomal RNA". It matches the Rfam family "Bacterial small subunit ribosomal RNA", at positions 524 to 776 of the family's 1533-position model. The record is from RNAcentral.
GACGAACCGUGCGAACGUUAUUCGGAAUUAUUGGGCUUAAAGAGCGCGUAGGCGGCAGCAUAAGUCAAGGGUGAAAUCCUAUCGGCUCAACCGUAGAACUGCCUUUGAUACUGUGUUGCUUGAGGUGGAUAGGGGCAUCUGGAACUUCCGGUGGAGCGGUGAAAUGUGUAGAGAUCGGAAGGAACGCCGGUGGCGAAAGCGAGAUGCUAGGUCCAAUCUGACGCUGUGGCGCGAAAGCUAGGGUAGCGAACGGG